RNAcentral lists this long non-coding RNA (1216 nucleotides) under Malus domestica (apple). Its description in RNAcentral is "long non-coding RNA (MDOM_LNC012260)". The record is from RNAcentral. Lineage: Eukaryota; Viridiplantae; Streptophyta; Magnoliopsida; Rosales; Rosaceae.
GUGCUAGGUAGAGAUGGAAAUAUACAUAUAAGGCUUGAAGGAUCAAUUCCCAUGGACGAGGUGGGAUAUUACAAAAAAUCUCUAUCAUGUAUUAGAGGAAGGAUCUUUCUUACAACCGCUUACACUACGUGAUCAACUGUAUAACAAACAUAUGGUGUAAUGUAUAAAUAUAUGACAAUCAUGUAUGUUUCAAUAGUACUUUUAAAAUAAUAUAUUAAUUGGAAAAGAGUUUUUACUAGUAUUGAAAACAUCGUCGUAUCGUGUUGAACAGAGAUGAACGACAUAAUUAAUAAUUUUAUAAACGGUGACAAGAGAGACAAAAUGGGUAUAACGUAGGAGAUGGUAUAAGUACAUACAUACCUCUAGGUUUUAUACUCAACCUUCCUUGUGCCUACCUACCUACCUUUACAUUACUAAAUUCUUCCCUAUUAUAUUCUCUCUUUUUUUCUUUCUAAUUUUCUAUAUUUGUGUAUUUAUUACUCAUCUUAGUUUAUUUAAUGUGCUCAUACUCUCCUUCCUUACUUAUUUAUUAUGCAGGCGGCGGAUAAUAUUUAAGAACAUUUACACAUAUAUUUAAGUUAUAAGACUAUAUUUUAGGAAGAGACGAAGUUUUUUAUUUAUUUUAGAGAAGAACAAAAUUUAUUUAUAUGGUAGGCAAUGUCAAGGAUAUUUUUAGUUGGUUUUGCAUUUUAAAAAUUUUACUUCUCUAUAAUUAAAGGAUGGGUCUUUAUUUUCUUAUUUGUACUAUUUUUUUUCCUCUCCUAUCUUAUUUGUCAUUUUCUUUCUCUCUUUCUUUGUCUCCUCUUUCUUCGGGCUAGUUUGGUAUUAUUAUAUUUUUUAGAAAAAAAAAUUAUUUCUGAUGAACUAUGAGAAUAAACAGCUAUAAAAUAAACUUAUUGAGUGUUUGGUAAACUUUUUUUUUGUAAAAAUGCUUUAACAAAAAAAAAAUAGUGUCCGAGUGUAUGGUAAACUUUUAUAUAAAUUGCUGUGAAUAUGUUAAAUGACUAAAAAUGAUAUGGUGUUUAAUGUGAUAUAAGAAUUGUCAAAGAGAAUAAUGUAGGGGCAAUGAUUGUAAUUUUGUAAAAUGUGUGAGGGUAUACUUGUCAUUUGAAAUUACUUAAAUAGACACUAAUUACUAUGCUUUAAAAAAAACAUUUUUAGAAGCAUGGUAGACCCUGUUUUUGUUUUUCUACCAUCAUUGGCAAUAGUUUUUUUU